AAUGAACGUUGGCGGCGUGGAUUAGGCAUGCAAGUCGAGGGAGAACCCGCAAGGGGGACACCGGCGAACGGGGUAGGAUCACGUAGGUGACGUACCCUCAGGGCGAGGAUAGCCACGGGAAACUGUGGGUAAUACUCGAUAACCUUCUCGAAUGUGAUGGUUUGAGAAGCAAUGGGUGUGAUUCCACCUGAGGAGCGGCUUACGCAGUAUCAGCUAGUUGGUGAGGUAACGGCUCACCAAGGCUUUGACGCUUAGGGGGUGUGAGAGCAUGGCCCCCACCACUGGCACUGAGACACUGGCCAGACACCUACGGGUGGCUGCAGUCGAGAAUCUUCGGCAAUGGACGAAAGUACUGACCGAGCGACGCCGCGUGCGGGAGUG
This 381-nucleotide ribosomal RNA is filed under the name uncultured bacterium. RNAcentral's name for it is "bacterial SSU rRNA". It matches the Rfam family "Bacterial small subunit ribosomal RNA", at positions 29 to 411 of the family's 1533-position model. The record is from RNAcentral.